This 225-nucleotide long non-coding RNA is filed under the name Lathyrus oleraceus (garden pea). RNAcentral's name for it is "Pisum sativum (pea) long non-coding RNA (PSAT_LNC007936)". The record is from RNAcentral. Lineage: Eukaryota; Viridiplantae; Streptophyta; Magnoliopsida; Fabales; Fabaceae.
CCCGAACUACGAGGUUUUGAUCCUAAUCUUUUUAUAAGAUGGUACGUAGGCAAUGGGUUCAUCCAUUCAAACACAAAAAAAAAUGUAAAUAAACUUGUAUAUUCUUAUCUCAUCCCUUCAAUCAUGUUUGCACAAAAUAAACUUUCAAAAAAUACCAACCUUACAACAAAUGUGAAAAGGGCUCCCUAGGAGUACCUAGGAUGUUUUGGGUGCCUAACACCUUCC